CCCUUAGAUGUUCUGGGCCGCACGCGUGCUACACUGAGUGGAUCAGCGGGUCAGGUUGCGCGAAAGCGUUUCCUAAUCUUUAAAUCCGCUCGUGAUGGGGAUUGACGGUUGCAAUUUUCUGUCAUGAACGAGGAAUACCUUGUAAGCGCGGGUCAUCAUCCCGCGCUGAAUACGUCCCUGCCCUUUGUACACACCGCCCGUCGCUCCUACCGAUUGAGUGGUCCGGUGAGGCUUUGGGAUCUGAGCGGAAAGAGCGUUUCGCUGUUUCUGCUCGGAAAACUCAGUCGAACCUUAUCAUUGAGAGGAAGGAGAAGGCGGAACA
RNAcentral lists this ribosomal RNA (322 nucleotides) under uncultured eukaryote. Its description in RNAcentral is "partial 18S ribosomal RNA". It matches the Rfam family "Eukaryotic small subunit ribosomal RNA", at positions 1470 to 1796 of the family's 1831-position model. The record is from RNAcentral.